CGGGACACGUGGUAUCCUGUCUGAAUAUGGGGGGACCAUCCUCCAAGGCUAAAUACUCCUGACUGACCGAUAGUGAACCAGUACCGUGAGGGAAAGGCGAAAAGAACCCCGGCGAGGGGAGUGAAAAAGAACCUGAAACCGUGUACGUACAAGCAGUGGGAGCCUCUUUAUGGGGUGACUGCGUACCUUUUGUAUAAUGGGUCAGCGACUUAUAUUCUGUAGCAAGGUUAACCGAAUAGGGGAGCCGAAGGGAAACCGAGUCUUAACUGGGCGUUAAGUUGCAGGGUAUAGACCCGAAACCCGGUGAUCUAGCCAUGGGCAGGUUGAAGGUUGGGUAACACUAACUGGAGGACCGAACCGACUAAUGUUGAAAAAUUAGCGGAUGACUUGUGGCUGGGGGUGAAAGGCCAAUCAAACCGGGAGAUAGCUGGUUCUCCCCGAAAGCUAUUUAGGUAGCGCCUCGUGAAUUCAUCUCCGGGGGUAGAGCACUGUUUCGGCAAGGGGGUCAUCCCGACUUACCAACCCGAUGCAAACUGCGAAUACCGGAGAAUGUUAUCACGGGAGACACACGGCGGGUGCUAACGUCCGUCGUGAAGAGGGAAACAACCCAGACCGCCAGCUAAGGUCCCAAAGUCAUGGUUAAGUGGGAAACGAUGUGGGAAGGCCCAGACAGCCAGGAUGUUGGCUUAGAAGCAGCCAUCAUUUAAAGAAAGCGUAAUAGCUCACUGGUCGAGUCGGCCUGCGCGGAAGAUGUAACGGGGCUAAACCAUGCACCGAAGCUGCGGCAGCGACGCUUAUGCGUUGUUGGGUAGGGGAGCGUUCUGUAAGCCUGCGAAGGUGUACUGUGAGGUAUGCUGGAGGUAUCAGAAGUGCGAAUGCUGACAUAAGUAACGAUAAAGCGGGUGAAAAGCCCGCUCGCCGGAAGACCAAGGGUUCCUGUCCAACGUUAAUCGGGGCAGGGUGAGUCGACCCCUAAGGCGAGGCCGAAAGGCGUAGUCGAUGGGAAACAGGUUAAUAUUCCUGUACUUGGUGUUACUGCGAAGGGGGGACGGAGAAGGCUAUGUUGGCCGGGCGACGGUUGUCCCGGUUUAAGCGUGUAGGCUGGUUUUCCAGGCAAAUCCGGAAAAUCAAGGCUGAGGCGUGAUGACGAGGCACUACGGUGCUGAAGCAACAAAUGCCCUGCUUCCAGGAAAAGCCUCUAAGCAUCAGGUAACAUCAAAUCGUACCCCAAACCGACACAGGUGGUCAGGUAGAGAAUACCAAGGCGCUUGAGAGAACUCGGGUGAAGGAACUAGGCAAAAUGGUGCCGUAACUUCGGGAGAAGGCACGCUGAUACGUAGGUGAAGUCCCUUGCGGAUGGAGCUGAAAUCAGUCGAAGAUACCAGCUGGCUGCAACUGUUUAUUAAAAACACAGCACUGUGCAAACACGAAAGUGGACGUAUACGGUGUGACGCCUGCCCGGUGCCGGAAGGUUAAUUGAUGGGGUUAGCGGUAACGCGAAGCUCUUGAUCGAAGCCCCGGUAAACGGCGGCCGUAACUAUAACGGUCCUAAGGUAGCGAAAUUCCUUGUCGGGUAAGUUCCGACCUGCACGAAUGGCGUAAUGAUGGCCAGGCUGUCUCCACCCGAGACUCAGUGAAAUUGAACUCGCUGUGAAGAUGCAGUGUACCCGCGGCAAGACGGAAAGACCCCGUGAACCUUUACUAUAGCUUGACACUGAACAUUGAGCCUUGAUGUGUAGGAUAGGUGGGAGGCUUUGAAGUGUGGACGCCAGUCUGCAUGGAGCCGACCUUGAAAUACCACCCUUUAAUGUUU
RNAcentral lists this ribosomal RNA (1813 nucleotides) under Escherichia coli. RNAcentral's name for it is "partial 23S ribosomal RNA". It matches the Rfam family "Bacterial large subunit ribosomal RNA", at positions 418 to 2215 of the family's 2925-position model. The record is from RNAcentral. Lineage: Bacteria; Pseudomonadati; Pseudomonadota; Gammaproteobacteria; Enterobacterales; Enterobacteriaceae.